ACGGAGGAUGCAAGCGUUAUCCGGAAUCAUUGGGCGUAAAGAGUCCGUAGGCGGCUAAUCAAGUCUGCUGUCAAAGACCGAAGCUCAACUUCGGAAAGGCGGUGGAAACUGAUAAGCUAGAGUACAGUAGGGGUAGAGGGAAUUCCCAGUGUAGCGGUGAAAUGCGUAGAGAUUGGGAAGAACACCAGUGGCGAAGGCGCUCUACUGGGCUUGUACUGACGCUGAGGGACGAAAGCUAGGGUAGCGAAAGGG
Molecule: ribosomal RNA, 252 nt
Filed under: uncultured bacterium
Lineage: Bacteria
Description: partial 16S ribosomal RNA
Rfam family: Bacterial small subunit ribosomal RNA
Source: RNAcentral